GAUGAACGCUAGCGGAAGGCUUAAUACAUGCAAGUCGAGCGGUAGGUGGCUUCGGCCAUUGAGAGCGGCGCACGGGUGAGUAACGCGUACAUGACCUGCCUGUCAGAAGGGGAUAGCCCUGGGAAACUGGGAUUAAUACCCUAUGGUAUUGAUAUUAUGAAUGAUAUCAAUUAAAGUUGAGGCGCUGACAGAUGGAUGUGCGUCUGAUUAGCUAGUUGGUAGGGUAACGGCCUACCAAGGCGACGAUCAGUAGGGGGCGUGAGAGCGUGGUCCCCCACACGGGUACUGAGACACGGACCCGACUCCUACGGGAGGCAGCAGUAAGGAAUAUUGGUCAAUGCCCGCAAGGGUGAACCAGCCAUUCCGCGUGGAGGAUGAAGGCCCUAUGGGUUGUAAAAACUCUUUUUACCGGGACGAGAGAGGACGGUACCGGUAGAAUAAGUCUCGGCUAACUACGUGCCAGCAGCCGCGGUAAU
Molecule: ribosomal RNA, 476 nt
Filed under: uncultured bacterium
Lineage: Bacteria
Description: bacterial SSU rRNA
Rfam family: Bacterial small subunit ribosomal RNA
Source: RNAcentral